CAGCCGCCGCGGGAAAACAGAGGGUGCAAGCGUUAAUCGGAAUUACUGGGCGUAAAGCGCGCGUAGGUGGUUCGCCAAGUUGGAUGUGAAAUCCCCGGGCUCAACCUGGGAACUGCAUCCAAAACUGGCGAGCUAGAGUAUGGUAGAGGGUGGUGGAAUUUCCUGUGUAGCGGUGAAAUGCGUAGAUAUAGGAAGGAACAUCAGUGGCGAAGGCGACCACCUGGACUGAUACUGACACUGAGGUGCGAAAGCGUGGGGAGCAAACAGGAUUAGAGACCCGAGUAGUCCCUGUCUCUAUACC
RNAcentral lists this ribosomal RNA (301 nucleotides) under uncultured bacterium. RNAcentral describes it as "partial 16S ribosomal RNA". It matches the Rfam family "Bacterial small subunit ribosomal RNA", at positions 509 to 808 of the family's 1533-position model. The record is from RNAcentral.